UCAGCAUUUAGUGCAAGGACAAAUGCUUGCCUCUUGGUCCCUGUUCGAGUGCCACUUGCCGCGGACCAGCCGGAGAAAGAGGAUCUCACCGCCCAGGGUCAGAAGGGAAGGGGACAUUUCAUCUUGACAAUCUGCACAUCUGGGAGACUAUCAAGAAAUGCUUUGAGGUCGAUGCCAUUCAGCACAAUCCGAUUGUCAUAAAUGUGCCCAUUGGACUUAAAAUCGAUGACUGCCUUCUUCUUCAGCUGCAUGCAGUGUCUCUCAGCUGCCUGAAAAUCUCCUGCCUGAUACUCUCGAUGUGCCAACUCAGCUAACCCUUGGAAGGAAAGCAUACGUUUCAUUGGUUCUGUGCUGUCGGCCACGUUGCCCACAGAAGACGCCAUCUGGAGCUUCUGGAGAGAGUGAGAAAAGGGGGUAAUUGAGUCCCGCUGCUGCCACUACUGGCAAGAAUGUUUCUAGAGGUAGCAAAUACGAGGGCAGCAGCCGUACCACUGCUUUGGCAGGCGUAAGCGGCGGCAACAGUUACACGCACUGAAACUUAGGAACUCUGGUUGGCCAUCUACCUCUCACGCUCUUGAAAUCUUAAUUCUUAACCCUGCCCUCUUCCACCAUUUUUCUCCUAAUCAGGGAAUAAAAAUUACCUAUACACUUGCCUUAGAAGAAAUCAAAAGUCAGUAGUCCAAACACUUUUUAAAAUUUUGUUUUCUGUCCAGUUGGAAAGGAAAUACAUGAUUGACUUUACUUCAUCAUUCAUAUAGUCAAUGUGGAAAACAUUAGGGCCGUGAAUUUCAAUACAGUAAGAUCAGAAAAUUUUAAAUUGGCCUUCCCAAACCACUAAUAAGUAACCAAUGUUGUAUAUAAUGCUAAAAUCUUAGAGACUGAGUUUGAUAUUUUAAAAGUUCUGAAAGGAUUAGCUAAUUUCUCCUCAUCAUACUUCUCAUGCCUCAAACCUGAGUAUUACUUUUUUAAAAUUAAAUUUAUCUUUAUUUAUUUAUUUUUAUUUUGGCUGCGUUGGGUCUUCAAUGCUGCAUGCAGACUUUCUCUAGUUGUGGCGAGCGGGGGCUACUCUUUGUUGCGGUGCCUGGGCUUCUCAUCACAGCAGCUUCUAUUGCUGUUCCACAACUCUAUGGGUUCCUUUUUAGGUCCUAUGAAGAACCCUAGAAAUUAGUUCAUGGAAUUAUAAGUUUUUGCAAAAUUGUCAAAAGUGAGAUAUUUUAACUUCCAUCAGGUAAGACCAACGUCUCUUUCUUUGCCAAUUUUCCUUCUAUCAUACUCCGCUAUGUUGGAUCAUAUUGGAAUGGCCACAGGCUUUUUUGAAAUCUGGCUAAGGAGAUUUUCUUUUUUCUGUGGUACGCGGGCCUCUCACUGUUGUGGCCUCUCCCGUUGUGGAGCACAGGCUCUGGACGCACAGGCUCAGCGGCCAUGGCUCACGGGCCUAGCCGCUCCGCGGCAUGUGGGAUCUUCCCGGACCGGGACACGAACCCGUGUGUCCUGCGUCGGCAGGUGGACUCUCAACCACUGCGCCACCAGGGAAGCCCUAAGGAGAUGUUUUAAGUGAGGCUAUUAUGUGAUUUUCAGACACCGCCAUAUGUAAUUGACUAUAUACUAUCGCAUUACAGGAAUAACUUCCAGUACUCAUACUGACUACUCUACUGACUUAACCUAGCACAAGACACAGAAGCAUAAGGACAAACACCACCUUACAAUAUAGCCAUGUCUUGCACUUCACAGCUCUCAAAGCAUGUGCGUUUGAAGAAGAAAAAAAGAACUGAAAAGUACAAAACCAGAAGCUAAUCUGUGGAAAAUUAUUUCAAUCAUCAGGCAUGUGAAAGAUAAGUCAAAGAUUCAGUUCUCAUCAAUGCUUAGUCAAAACGGAAAUUUUCUUCUGUCAAGAAUAUACUCCAGGGGCUUCCCUGAUGGCGCAGUGGUUAAGAAGCCACCUGCCAAUGCAGGGGACAAGGGUUCGAGUCCUGGUCCGGGAAGAUCCCACAUGUCACGGAGCAACUAAGCCGGUGUGCCACAACUACGGAACCUGCGCUCUAGAGCCCGUGAGCCACGACUAUUGAGCCUGCGAGCCACAACUACUGAAGCCUCCGUGCCUAGCGCCCGUGCUCUGCAACAAGAGAAGCCACCGCAAUGAGAAGCCUGUGCACCGCAACGAAGGGUAGCCCC
This is a non-coding RNA of Globicephala melas (long-finned pilot whale), 2172 nucleotides long. NCBI's taxonomy places the organism in Eukaryota, Metazoa, Chordata, Mammalia, Artiodactyla, Delphinidae. The record is from RefSeq and is a predicted model, not a curated record.